Molecule: long non-coding RNA, 230 nt
Organism: Anguilla rostrata (American eel)
Lineage: Eukaryota; Metazoa; Chordata; Actinopteri; Anguilliformes; Anguillidae
Exons: 2
Source: RefSeq, a predicted model, not a curated record
GACUCUCGCGCACAGUAAUACACAGCUGUGUCUCCAGUCUGCAGGCUGCUCCCCUGCAAAGUCACUGUGCUGCUGGAGGUGUCUCUGGUGAUGGUGAACUUGUUCUUUAGUGAAUCUUUAUAACCAGUACCGCCACCCGUCCCUAUAUAUCCAAUCCACUCCAGAGCUUUCCCUGUAGGCUGUCGGAUCCAGUGUGUAGCAUAGCUGCUCAGUGAAUAUGACACUUUACA